RNAcentral lists this ribosomal RNA (116 nucleotides) under Pteropus alecto (black flying fox). Lineage: Eukaryota; Metazoa; Chordata; Mammalia; Chiroptera; Pteropodidae. The record is from RNAcentral.
GUCUAUGUCCAUGCCACUCUGAAUAACCUUGAUGUCUGAUCUCGGAAGCUAAGCAGGGUCAGGCCUAGUUAAUACUUGGUUGGGAGACCACCUUGGAAGACCAGGUGCUGUAGGCA